This is a long non-coding RNA of Cervus elaphus (red deer), 1305 nucleotides long. RefSeq lists it as uncharacterized. The transcript is spliced from 3 exons. The record is from RefSeq and is a predicted model, not a curated record. NCBI's taxonomy places the organism in Eukaryota, Metazoa, Chordata, Mammalia, Artiodactyla, Cervidae.
CAAAACGGCUGGUGGGCUGCACGGGAAGAACCGCGCAUGACACGUCAAUCCAAGAUGGAGGCAGCAGGCCGAGAAGCUGCACUCGGCCCUCGGAAUCCAUUAGGCGCACGCACGCAGGCACGUGCAGAGAGAACCCCGCCCCCUCCUUGCUUUGGCACGCACGCAGGCACGUGCGGAGAGAACCCCGCCCCCUCCUUGCUUUGGCGUAUAUAAAGCAGCCCCCACCACAGCCUUCGGCCCUGAAGAGCACGUGCUCCAGUGCGUGAGCUGGUGUCUCUCCGUUCGUCUGUCAGAGAAGGACGCUUUCCUUUGCUUCUGAAGCUAACUGAGUCACAUUCUGUCAGCUGAAAGGACACCGAGCAGAAGGACCGUUCAUAAGGAAAGUCCUUGACUUAAUAAGCAAAGGAAAAAUGUAUGCUGCGGUUCCUGAAGAUCUCUGAUUUAAGUUUAAACAAAGAAGGCUUCUUUGAAAGGUCCAAGUAAGAAAUGCCAAGCUAAGGAGGAUGGAGCUGGCCUGGGAGCUUUGUGAGUUAUCAGCGUAAAUUACAUGCCUGGCGCACAGCAAGCGUUCCAUGAUGAUUUGUUGAACAGGAACUUAUUUCAAUGGAAAAUUACGGAGGACAUGUGAAACAAUUCAUGUAGUUAGCCUUGUGCCGACAUUGAGUAAGUCUUCAGCGCAUGUGAGACACCCUUAUUGUUGUUGUUGUUAUUAUUUACAUUGAGUAAAUGUUUUUAAAUAAAAUAAGUUCUAGGCUAUUUCAGGAUAAACCUCAGCAGGUAACACAAAUCAGUGGGCACUAAGAAACUAUAUUUUAUUAGGUCAUGUCAUAUUGGUCAAGCCUAAGGAAACCUCUAAAAUUUGGCUUCUCAGCCAGAAAGGCAAUUCAUCGAUUUACAAUAGAAGAUAUAUUUUUUUCCCUAGGGGUCAGGACUUCCUGAAAUCAGUGUCUUUGGAACACAGAAUUAGUUCUAAAUGUUGCUUUUAAGCUCUGAAUACAAACAAAGGGAGCUGUCUUUAUGGUCUUGUAGGGUUUGAGAUGUGGGCUGGAGACUUAGUUCCACUAUUCUGGUACCUUUCUGGUUGCUAGAAAGGUAUGUAAAACAUGUCUGUCAGCCUCUCUUUCUCACUGUUUAUCUUCCCUUAGAGAAUGAAGGAUAAAUAUGACAGUUCUGCUAUCUAUAUCUAAUAUAAUUUUGAAGCUGAAAGAAACCUUGGUGGUGGUUUAAUUGCUAAAUCAUGUCCAAUUCUUGCGACCCCAUGAACUGUAGCCCACCAGGUUCCUCUGUCCUUGGGAUUUUCCAGGC